This is a long non-coding RNA of Mastomys coucha (southern multimammate mouse), 760 nucleotides long. RefSeq lists it as uncharacterized. Lineage: Eukaryota; Metazoa; Chordata; Mammalia; Rodentia; Muridae. The transcript is spliced from 2 exons. The record is from RefSeq and is a predicted model, not a curated record.
AGAAAAAAAUAUUCAGCUGACUUAAAAUGCUCCAAUUCCCAACCAUCCCCAAGGGUUGAAGGAUGGUGUUUAAACUCAAGUGUGAAUCAGCUUCUCUAUGUGGUUAGAGAGGAAAGAAAAUGUCAGGGAGUGAAUUCAAACUGUUCUCAGAUCAUCAAGAGGAGAGAGCUCACUUCUGGCUCCAAAGCCUUUCUUCAAGCUUCAGAAAUGCUUAGACAUUUGGACUUUUAUGAAAACUCCUCUUGCUACAUUAACUCCAAGAAAUCUGAAGGAGCUUAUGAGUUCUGGACAUGGGAAAAUGAAGACUGGUUACAGGACUGAAGUGGGUCCACCAUCUGCUCUCCACUGUUGCCAUAUUCAUGAGGGAAUAUGAACAACCAGUGUUAAUAAAAUGCAGGUUGUGCUGAAUAAUAGACUAAACACAGAGAGUUACCAUUGAAGUGAAGGAUACGUUGGCAGGGGCAGAAGGCAUUCAGAGACUCCCAGGUAUGAAAGCCACACUGAGGGGAGACCACAACUUCUUUAGUGAGGAUAAACUCCGCACCUCUGCUAGUUGUCCAUUUGACUUCGAGCCAAAUGCUGAAGUCUAUUUUUUUCUUCUACUUUAAAGUUAAAAAAAAUUAAACCAUAAAACAGAUUGUGAAAAAACCAGAAAAGUAUAAUAAUACACAUGUGUGUGAAUUUAUUAAUAUUUUGUCAUUUGUUAUCAGAUCUGUUAAAAAUAUUCUAAGUAUCAUGUAUCAUGACCCUUAUCCUAAAA